RNAcentral lists this ribosomal RNA (241 nucleotides) under uncultured Staphylococcus sp. RNAcentral describes it as "partial 16S ribosomal RNA". It matches the Rfam family "Bacterial small subunit ribosomal RNA", at positions 99 to 334 of the family's 1533-position model. Lineage: Bacteria; Bacillati; Bacillota; Bacilli; Caryophanales; Staphylococcaceae. The record is from RNAcentral.
CGGACGGGUGAGUAACACGUGGAUAACCUACCUAUAAGACUGGGAUAACUUCGGGAAACCGUAGCUAAUACCGGGUAAUAUUUUGAACCGCAUGGUUCAAAAGUGAAAGACGGUCUUGCUGUCACUUAUAGAUGGAUCCGCGCUGCAUUAGCUAGUUGGUAAGGUAACGGCUUACCAAGGCAACGAUGCAUAGCCGACCUGAGAGGGUGAUCGGCCACACUGGAACUGAGACACGGUCCAG